UGGGUAACCUGCCUCAAAGAGGGGAAUAGCCUCCCGAAAGGGAGAUUAAUACCGCAUAAUAUGUUUUAAUCGCAUGAUUUUAACAUCAAAGGAUUUUCUUCGGAACUUCCACUUUGAGAUGGACCCGCGGCGCAUUAGCUAGUUGGUGAGGUAACGGCUCACCAAGGCAACGAUGCGUAGCCGACCUGAGGAGGGUGAUCGGCCACAUUGGAACUGAGACACGGUCCAGACUCCGUAGGGAGG
Molecule: ribosomal RNA, 243 nt
Filed under: uncultured bacterium
Lineage: Bacteria
Description: partial 16S ribosomal RNA
Rfam family: Bacterial small subunit ribosomal RNA
Source: RNAcentral